UACGAAGGGGGCUAGCGUUGUUCGGAAUUACUGGGCGUAAAGCGCACGUAGGCGGACAUUUAAGUCAGGGGUGAAAUCCCAGAGCUCAACUCUGGAACUGCCUUUGAUACUGGGUGUCUUGAGUAUGGAAGAGGUGAGUGGAAUUCCGAGUGUAGAGGUGAAAUUCGUAGAUAUUCGGAGGAACACCAGUGGCGAAGGCGGCUCACUGGUCCAUUACUGACGCUCAGGCACGAAAGCGUGGGGAGCAAAAGGG
Molecule: ribosomal RNA, 253 nt
Filed under: uncultured bacterium
Lineage: Bacteria
Description: partial 16S ribosomal RNA
Rfam family: Bacterial small subunit ribosomal RNA
Source: RNAcentral